RNA transcript from Triticum aestivum (bread wheat), 1855 nucleotides. RefSeq lists it as uncharacterized. The transcript is spliced from 7 exons. Lineage: Eukaryota; Viridiplantae; Streptophyta; Magnoliopsida; Poales; Poaceae. The record is from RefSeq and is a predicted model, not a curated record.
UCUCACUCGUGCCGCUCCUUCUCUUCCUCCCACGCUGCCUCCCUCUCUCCCUCGAAACCCUAACCCGCGCCGCCUCCAUGCCCCCCCGCCGGCCGCCACCGGCCGCCGCCGCCGCUCACUCGGGCACCCAGCCACGACCUCACACCGCCCCUCUCCUCUUCCUCCCGCCUCACCUCUCUCUCUCCUUCCAAACCCUAGACCACCUCCCUGCCCCGUCCCCGUCACCGAGGAGGAGCUCGCGCUCGGGGAGGAUGAGGAGACGGCCGCCUCCAUGGAGCAGCAGAAGGAGGAGGGGCACGCGGCGGCGGCGACCAAGAGGCGCAUGGCGCAGCCGACCAAGAAGGCCGGGAACAUGGCCACCGGCGACAAGGAGCCCGAGUUCCUCGACGAGCCGUCCUCGCCGACGAGGCCCGCUACAGGGAUGGAUGAGAGGAUCUGAGGUCCCCUCUGUCUGUUGACUGUUCGAAUUGUGGGCUGACAUACACACCACAGUAGUUAUUUGUAAUUCCAUUUGAUGGCUGGCAGGUGGAUAUUCAGGUCAGGAAGCUCUACUGCAACAACAGGGCUGACCCGAAGCUACCAAUCAGCAUGGAGGAUGCCGGACGGAGUGCUGAGGAGUUUGCAAUAGCUGAAUCAAAGGGAGUGCCACUUGUCCAUGUUGGUCAGGACACACGCUUGGACUAUCGAGUUAUUGAUGUCCGAACACUAGCAAAUCAAGCCAUUUUCCGUAUGCAGCAUCAAGUUGAAAACAUUGGUGAAAGCAACACCAUCGGCGUUCGUCGCCUUCAUCCUGGACCUCCCCAUGUUGUCUCUGUACUGCCCAACGGUACAUCAUAUGCUUCUCCUCCACGGUCGAUUGUUCACUAGGCUGGCCCAUGGAAGCACCACCGCUCAGUGGCCUUAGCGCUGGACCACGAGGUUGGAUAGGGCAAGCAUGUGUAUUCUUUAAUUAUUGGAGGCUUUCAUAUUCAUAUAUCAAUACAAGGCGGGAUAUGAUGCAGUUCUUUGUGAUUUGAAAGCAACUGGUGACUCAAUAUCAAUCAGUUCACAGAGGGAACUCUUCUCGACCGUGUCGGCGACAGGAACAGGGAAACGCCUGUCCACGGUGCCACCAAUGAACAAGGCCGAGACAAGCAUCGUAAGGAUCCAGUUAGAAUGAUGACUGAUAUCUUGUUAAAGCAUCUUGGGCUUCACAAGGCCAUCUGAGACUCGGGCUCAAUGAGAACACGAUGAGGUACAUGGAGAACUCCAGAAACACUAUAGUGAAGGAUCUAAACUAUGGCAGGCUGAGCAGAAUGCAGAAAGACUUUUGCUUAUCUAAGACUCAGGAUCGAUGAGGCAUUUGACAUGAUAAACAAGUGUCAAAGGUUACUUGUAUGAUCUGAGAUACAUGAGCUCCUUCUCAGAUCAGCUUCAUAAUGUGAUAGCACAUGGCUUUCCUCCUACCCGUGCCGUGGAUAUAUUGACAAACGUGACCCUUAUGAAUAUUGAAGUGGUGGCACAUAACCUUGAGAGCAGAAGCAAUCGUCUGUAGAAGAGGCUGCAUGCCAUAAAAAGACCGUCUUUAGGCGCAACAGCAUGAGAUGUUUGCACCAAUUGAUUUCUUCACACCAAGGCCAUGGCGUUGAUCAUCUAUGGACAUCACAAAUCAUCUAUUCUAACUCUCGCAAGUACGAGAUGAUAUAUGAUGCCACCAGCUCCUGUGAUGUACCGUGUAAACUACUGUGUGAUCUCCCUCUCCUUUUGUGAACACGUCCCCUUCGGCACGUCUAUUCAUACUUUUGCACUCAAUAUUUACGUGUAUGAAUAUUGCAUCCUUUAAUUUACCCUGUAUAUGAACAUUACAUCCUUCAAA